GCCAGUGUGGUAUAGUGGUUUGAGCAUUGGACUACAACUCUGGAGACUAGGGUUCAAAACCCCACUCAGCCA
Phrynosoma platyrhinos (Desert horned lizard) is the source of this 72-nucleotide non-coding RNA. The record is from the annotation of a GenBank genome assembly. NCBI's taxonomy places the organism in Eukaryota, Metazoa, Chordata, Lepidosauria, Squamata, Phrynosomatidae.